Molecule: non-coding RNA, 394 nt
Organism: Ceratotherium simum simum (southern white rhinoceros)
Lineage: Eukaryota; Metazoa; Chordata; Mammalia; Perissodactyla; Rhinocerotidae
Source: the annotation of a RefSeq genome assembly
AUUUCUUCAGAGAAUAAGAGAGGCCCUGAGGCACAUCCCCAGCUGUGGGCUCAGAGGCAGAGCUCUGGGGCAUCUCCACCAUGGCCUGGACUCCUCUCCUGCUCCCCCUCCUCACUCUCUGCACAGGUUCUGUGGCCUCUUCUGAGUUGAUUCAGCCACCUUUGGUGUCCGUGGCUUUGGGACAGACGGCCACCAUCACCUGCCAGGAAGAGAGCAUAAAAAGCUAUUAUGCUUACUGGUACCAGCUAAAGCCAGGCCAGGCCCCUGUGCUGGCCAUCUAUGGGUAUGUCAGUUGGCCCUCAGGAAUCCCAGGCCGAUUCUCUGGCUCCUACUCAGGGAACACGGCCACCCUGACCUUCACUGGGGCCUUGGCUGAGGACUAGGCCAACUAUUA